This 274-nucleotide ribosomal RNA is filed under the name uncultured bacterium. RNAcentral describes it as "partial 16S ribosomal RNA". It matches the Rfam family "Bacterial small subunit ribosomal RNA", at positions 523 to 796 of the family's 1533-position model. The record is from RNAcentral.
AUACGGAGGGUGCAAGCGUUGUCCGGAUUUAUUGGGUUUAAAGGGUGCGUAGGUGGCGUGUUAAGUCAGUGGUGAAAGCCUGCAGCUCAACUGUAGAGGUGCCAUUGAUACUGACAUGCUUGAGUAUUGACGAGGUAGGCGGAAUUUGUGGUGUAGCGGUGAAAUGCAUAGAUACCACAAAGAACACCGAUAGCGAAGGCAGCUUACUGGACCAUAACUGACACUGAGGCACGAAAGUGUGGGUAGCGAACAGGAUUAGAUACCCUAGUAGUCC